CCCUUGUAGUACUGGGACUCUAACCAUAGGCCAUGAAUCUGGUCUUGGGACACUGUCAGGUGGGCAGUUUGACUGGGGCGGUCGCCUCCCAAAAGGGAACGGAGGCGCUCAAAGGUUCUCUCAGUACGGUCGGAAAUCGUACGUAGAGUGUAAAGGCAAAAGAGAGCUUGAUUGCAAGACAUACAGGUCGAGCAAGGAUGAAAAUCGGACUUAGUGAUCCGGUGGUUCUGCGUGGAAGGGCCAUCGCUCAACGGAUAAAAGCU
Molecule: ribosomal RNA, 263 nt
Filed under: Clostridioides difficile
Lineage: Bacteria; Bacillati; Bacillota; Clostridia; Peptostreptococcales; Peptostreptococcaceae
Description: partial 23S ribosomal RNA
Rfam family: Bacterial large subunit ribosomal RNA
Source: RNAcentral